Transfer RNA from Felis catus (domestic cat), 85 nucleotides. It matches the Rfam family "tRNA". Rfam says of the family: Transfer RNA (tRNA) molecules are approximately 80 nucleotides in length. NCBI's taxonomy places the organism in Eukaryota, Metazoa, Chordata, Mammalia, Carnivora, Felidae. The record is from Rfam.
GCCUGGGUGGCUCAGUCGGUUGAGCAACUGACUUCGGCUCAGGUCAUGAUCUCAAGGUCUGUGGGUUCAAGCCCCACUUCGAGCU